UACGAAGGGGGCUAGCGUUGUUCGGAUUUACUGGGCGUAAAGCGCGCGUAGGCGGCUUACCAAGUUGGGGGUGAAAUCCCGGAGCUCAACUCCGGAACUGCCUUCAAAACUGGUAGGCUCGAGUCCGGAAGAGGGGCGUGGAAUUCCCAGUGUAGAGGUGAAAUUCGUAGAUAUUGGGAAGAACACCGGUGGCGAAGGCGGCGCCCUGGUCCGGUACUGACGCUGAGGCGCGAAAGCGUGGGGAGCAAACAGG
RNAcentral lists this ribosomal RNA (253 nucleotides) under uncultured bacterium. RNAcentral describes it as "partial 16S ribosomal RNA". It matches the Rfam family "Bacterial small subunit ribosomal RNA", at positions 524 to 776 of the family's 1533-position model. The record is from RNAcentral.